GCGGUCGUGGCGGAACGGUAGACGCGCUAGCUUGAGGUGCUAGUAGGGCAACCUGUGGAAGUUCGAGUCUUCUCGACCGCACCA
Molecule: transfer RNA, 84 nt
Filed under: Alphaproteobacteria bacterium
Lineage: Bacteria; Pseudomonadati; Pseudomonadota; Alphaproteobacteria
Also listed under: 6 other names
Description: tRNA-Leu
Rfam family: tRNA
About the family: Transfer RNA (tRNA) molecules are approximately 80 nucleotides in length. Their secondary structure includes four short double-helical elements and three loops (D, anti-codon, and T loops).
Source: RNAcentral